This is a non-coding RNA of Sphingopyxis sp. LC81, 50 nucleotides long. NCBI's taxonomy places the organism in Bacteria, Pseudomonadati, Pseudomonadota, Alphaproteobacteria, Sphingomonadales, Sphingopyxidaceae. The record is from Rfam.
CCGGGGCGAAGCAACCUCCCGGACAAGCGCAGCGUGCGCUCAAGCGUUGC